GAUGAAGAACGCAGCGAAAUGCGAUAAGUAGUGUGAAUUGCAGAAUUCCGUGAAUCAUCGAAUCUUUGAACGCACAUUGCGCCUUCUGGUAUUCCGGAAGGCAUGCCUGUCCGAGCGUCAUUUCUGCCCUCCAGCCCGGCUGGGUGUUGGGCGCUGUCCCCCCGGGGACACGCCCCAAAGGCAGUGGCGGCGCCGCGUCGGGUCCUCGAGCGUAUGGGGCUUUGUCACCCGCUCGGGACGGACUCGUCGGCGCUGGUCUUCCUCCAGGCGACCCUUCGGGGCUCGUCUUCCUUCGGUUGACCUCGGAUCAGGUAGGGUUACCCGCUGAACUUAAGCAUAUCAAUAAGCGGAGGA
Molecule: unclassified non-coding RNA, 354 nt
Filed under: soil metagenome
Description: partial contains 5.8S ribosomal RNA, internal transcribed spacer 2, and large subunit ribosomal RNA
Rfam family: 5.8S ribosomal RNA (bases 1-120)
Source: RNAcentral